Molecule: ribosomal RNA, 446 nt
Filed under: uncultured Candidatus Xiphinematobacter sp.
Lineage: Bacteria; Pseudomonadati; Verrucomicrobiota; Spartobacteria
Description: bacterial SSU rRNA
Rfam family: Bacterial small subunit ribosomal RNA
Source: RNAcentral
UCCUACGGGCGGCUGCAGUCGAGAAUUUUUCACAAUGGGGGAAACCCUGAUGGAGCGACGCCGCGUGGAGGACGAAGGCCUUCGGGUCGUAAACUCCUGUCAUGCGGGAACAAGAAAGUGAUAGUACCGCAAGAGGAAGAGACGGCUAACUCUGUGCCAGCAGCCGCGGUAAUACAGAGGUCUCAAGCGUUGUUCGGAUUCAUUGGGCGUAAAGGGUGCGUAGGUGGCGAUGCAAGUCUGGUGUGAAAUCUUGGGGCUCAACCUCAAAAUUGCACCGGAUACUGCGUUGCUUGAGGAUUGUAGAGGAGAGUGGAAUUCACGGUGUAGCAGUGAAAUGCGUAGAUAUCGUGAGGAAGACCAGUUGCGAAGGCGACUCUCUGGGCAACUCCUGACACUGAGGCACGAAGGCCAGGGGAGCAAACGGGAUUAGAUACCCGUGUAGUCGU